Molecule: long non-coding RNA, 399 nt
Filed under: Mus musculus (house mouse)
Lineage: Eukaryota; Metazoa; Chordata; Mammalia; Rodentia; Muridae
Description: ilncRNA-EC31
Source: RNAcentral
UGAAGAUGGUGAUGCGUUUAUUUAAGGAGAAAGUGUCUCCCUGUUUAGCCCAGGCUGGCCUGGGAGUUACGACAGAUCUCCUGACUGCCACCCUUAACAGUGACUAGACAUUGGAGUUUUCAUUUAUGAUGAGUGUAGAGAGUUUGCUGAGCAGCUGCUCAGUGAUAGGCUCUGUCCCUUUGCAAUGGAAGUGGAGAUAAGACAAACGGUGACACUGGGUAAGGACCAUUCCUCUGGAGAGGUCUGGGCAAAGUGCCAUGAGGCUACCAGGGAACAGGACCCGAAUCAUUGGAGGACAGAGACUUGGAGAACCAAAGAACAAGCCAAAGAGUUGCUGCAAAAGGCGCGGAGCAGAUAAGCAUGGAGAUGCUUAUGUGGAGCAGUUCAAGUACACGCCAG